CGCUCUCAGGUUUUGUAGUGUUGGGGGUCGUGCCUGCCCGGUGGACAUUAGUUCUAAACGGUUGCUGUUGAUAGCAGUACAAAGGUAGCGCAGUCAAUAGUCCUUUAAUUGAGGAACGGAAUGAAUGGCGUGACGUGGGAAAGGCUGUCUCAGGUUUAAUCGUUGAAAUUUACUUUUGCGUGAAAAGGCGCAAAUGCGAGCAUCAGACGAGAAGACCCCAUCGAGCUUGAUGAGGUUUGGCUUUUAUAAGGUGGACUAAAGUUUAGUUGGGGUGACUGGGUGCAAGUUUAACGUACCUGAAUUUUGCUUAAUGGAGACCCUCUAUUGGAGAUAUGGAGAAAAAGCUACCGUGGGGAUAACAGCGUAAUGCUCUUGGAGAGAUCUUAUUGAAGAGAGAUGUUGCGACCUCGAUGUUGAACUAGAGUGUUAUCCUGGCGCAGCCGUUAGGAUUGUGGGACUGUUCGUCCUUUAAAACUCUACA
Molecule: ribosomal RNA, 481 nt
Filed under: Teredo clappi
Lineage: Eukaryota; Metazoa; Mollusca; Bivalvia; Myida; Teredinidae
Description: partial 16S ribosomal RNA
Rfam family: Bacterial large subunit ribosomal RNA
Source: RNAcentral